GAUUUCUGGUUCGGCGCACUUGGCCCGCCUCGGUUUACGGGGUUGUGUGCCGGUGUGCGCCAUCCAUCCUUCGAGUACACGUGUUCUACCCUUCACUGGGUGUGAGCACGCUUGGCUCGAUCUUUUACUUUGAAAAAAUUAGAGUGUUUAAAGCAGGCUUGCGCUAUGAAUACAUUAGCAUGGAAUAAUAAUUUAGGACUUCGGUUCUAUUUUGUUGGUUUCUAGGACUGAAGUAAUGAUUGAUAGGGAUAGUUGGGGGUGCUAGUAUUCAGCGGCCAGAGGUGAAAUUCUCGGAUUCGCUGAAGACUAACUUAUGCGAAAGCAUU
RNAcentral lists this ribosomal RNA (326 nucleotides) under uncultured Cercomonas. RNAcentral's name for it is "SSU rRNA". The stretch from base 112 to 326 matches the Rfam family "Eukaryotic small subunit ribosomal RNA", at positions 739 to 955 of the family's 1831-position model. The record is from RNAcentral. Lineage: Eukaryota; Cercozoa; Cercomonadida; Cercomonadidae.